RNAcentral lists this long non-coding RNA (355 nucleotides) under Homo sapiens (human). Its description in RNAcentral is "HSALNT0348090". The record is from RNAcentral. Lineage: Eukaryota; Metazoa; Chordata; Mammalia; Primates; Hominidae.
AUGAGGUAUCUAAAGUAGUUAAAGUCAUAGAAAUAGAGAGUAGGCCAGGCAUGGUGGUUCACGCCUAUAAUCCCAACACUUUGGGAGGCCGAGGCGGGCGGAUCAUGAGGUCAGGAGAUCGGGACCAUCCUGGCUAGCACCGUGAAACCCCGUCUCUACUAAAAGUACAAAAAAAUUAGCUGGGCGUGGUGGCGGGCGCUUGUAGUCCCAGCUACUAGGGAGGCUGAGGCAGGAGAAUGGCGUGAACCCAGGAGGCGGAGCUUGCAGUGAGCCGAGAUCACGCCACUGCACUCCAGCCUGGGCGACAGAGAGAGACUCAGUCUGGAAAAAAAAAAAAAAAAAAAAAAAAAAAAGA